This 253-nucleotide ribosomal RNA is filed under the name uncultured bacterium. RNAcentral describes it as "partial 16S ribosomal RNA". It matches the Rfam family "Bacterial small subunit ribosomal RNA", at positions 524 to 776 of the family's 1533-position model. The record is from RNAcentral.
UACGAGGGGUGCUAACGUUAUUCGGAUUUAUUGGGCGUAAAGGGUGCGUAGGUGGCGAUAUAAGUCUGUUGUUAAAUCUUCCGGCCUAACUGGAAGCUCGCAAUGGAUACUGUAUUGCUCGAGGGUGGAAGAGAGAAGUGGAAUUCUUGGAGUAGCGGUAAAAUGCGUAGAUCUCAAGAGGAACACCAAUGGCGAAGGCAGCUUCUUGGUCCAAUCCUGACACUGAGGCACGAAAGCGUGGGGAGCAAACAGG